RNAcentral lists this ribosomal RNA (505 nucleotides) under uncultured bacterium. Its description in RNAcentral is "bacterial SSU rRNA". It matches the Rfam family "Bacterial small subunit ribosomal RNA", at positions 8 to 526 of the family's 1533-position model. The record is from RNAcentral.
AGAGUUUGAUCAUGGCUCAGAACGAACGCUGGCGGCAGGCCUAACACAUGCAAGUCGAGCGCUGUAGCAAUACAGAGCGGCAAACGGGUGCGUAACACGUGAGUCAUCUGCCUGGAAGUGGGGGAUAGCUCGCCGAAAGGCGAAUUAAUACCGCAUGUGAUUGCAAAAUUAAAGCCGGGGCAACCUGGCGCUUUCAGAGGAGCUCGCGGCCUAUCAGCUUGUUGGUAAGGUAACGGCUUACCAAGGCUUCGACGGGUAGCUGGUCUGAGAGGACGACCAGCCACACUGGAACUGAGACACGGUCCAGACACCUACGGGUGGCAGCAGUCGAGAAUUUUUCUCAAUGGGGGAAACCCUGAAGGAGCGACGCCGCGUGGAGGAUGAAGGCUUUCGGGUUGUAAACUCCUGUCAUUUGGGAACAAAGCCUUACGUUAACUGCGUGGAGGUUUGAUAGUACCAGAAGAGGAAGAGACGGCUAACUCUGUGCCAGCCGCCGCGGUAAUAC